Long non-coding RNA from Caretta caretta (loggerhead turtle), 458 nucleotides. RefSeq lists it as uncharacterized. Lineage: Eukaryota; Metazoa; Chordata; Testudines; Cheloniidae. The record is from RefSeq and is a predicted model, not a curated record.
AUGGACCAAAGACACAGUCUUGUGUUAUGGAAACAGCAGUGAGGCUGAAUCAAAGGAGUCUCCAAGAGGAAUUCUGGGAUUGCAGCUGGUGGGAGAUCAUACAUUAUCCAAAACUUUGGAGUGAUGAACCUGUGAAGCACAGAAAGCCAUCAGAGAACUGUGAGCUUCAAGGUUCCAUCUGAACAUAAAGCUAUAUAAAGAACAGAGCAAUGAAAUAAAGAAGGCUGCACACAUUAACCUAGCAGAGUAAUGGAGAAGAAUUCAGCCUCAAGAAAUAUCUGCACUAAAUAUCUUUGAGCUGAUCCAGGAAGAAAAUGUAAAGAGUGUUUGCACUCCUUCAGAAUAUAGCCUUUUGUCCCUGUGGUGAGAUGGCUCGCUCCUUGUUUCUCAUAUAGACUUCCUCUGAAACCUUGGAGAACUCAUUUAUCCUCUCUCUGACCGAUCCAUCUGUCUGUAAA